Molecule: small nuclear RNA, 107 nt
Organism: Monodelphis domestica (gray short-tailed opossum)
Lineage: Eukaryota; Metazoa; Chordata; Mammalia; Didelphimorphia; Didelphidae
Source: Ensembl
GUGCUUGCUUUGGCAGCACAUAUACUAAAAUUGGAAGGAUAUAGAGAAGAUUAGUAUGGCCCCUGCACAAGGAUGACAUGCAAAUUCGUGAAGCGUUCCAUAUUUUU